This is a long non-coding RNA of Oryctolagus cuniculus (rabbit), 1058 nucleotides long. RefSeq lists it as uncharacterized. The record is from RefSeq and is a predicted model, not a curated record. NCBI's taxonomy places the organism in Eukaryota, Metazoa, Chordata, Mammalia, Lagomorpha, Leporidae.
CUGCUCUCUCCCCCUGGGCUUCAGUUUCCCCACAGGGCUGUUGCGAGGAUCCAACAGGUAAUGUGCAGAAGAGGCUGAGCACACACAGCCCCGCCUGGAAGACAGGCACACAUUCAACAGAGACGGCAUCACAUUUCCAUCCCAGGGCGCAUGCGGGCUCCGCCGAAUCUGUCUCUGCUUCCCAAGACUGAGAAGGAAAACAGGCCAGGCCGGAGCAUGAUUUCAGCCAGGAACCAUGAAAUGGCAAUUACAGAGUUAUCUCAGACUGAUUUAUUUAUUUAAAAGAAGGAGGUGCUGGCAUUGUGGUGUAGCAGGUAAACCUACUGCCAGUGAUGCCAGCAUCCAUACAGGCACCAGUUCAUGUCUCAGCUACUCCACCUCUGAGCUGGCUCCCUGCUAGUGCACCUGGGAAAGCAGCAGAUGAUGGCUCUAGGACCUGGGCCUCUGUCACCUACAUGGAAGACCCGGAAGAAGCUUCUGUUUGUAGAGGCUGCCGCGAUCCUCAGCGGGCAUCACUCCACCCUCCAUCCCCACCACCACAGCAUCCUUCUCAUCACUGACGCUCCAGCUCUCCUGCUCUUCCUUCUGAGGAUCCUGCGGUCACUCUGGUUCCAUGUGUGUGACCUAGGACACCCUUCCCUGUCUCAAGAUCCUUACUCACACCAGCAAAUCUCUUUGGCCAUGUAAGGGGAAAGUCAGCUGCCAUGGCAUGAGCCAGCCCUGUGGAGAGAAGCACGUGGCUGGGGACUCAGCUUCCAGCCCACAGCCAGCAAGGAAGCCAGGUGCGCCAACAGCCCUGUGAGUGAACUUGGAGUGGAUCCGCAUCCUCGCAGAGCCUUGAGGCCUUGAGAUGGUCACAGGGCCAGCAGCAGCUGCAGCCUGGUGGGGGACCCUGAGCCUGAACCACCUACCGAAGCCGCCUCCAGAUUCGUGGUCCUCAGAAACCACAUGAGGGAAGAAAUGUUUGGGGUUUAAGCUGCUGAGCUUUGGGUAACUGUAAUUUUGCAAUAACAGAUGACAAACAAACUCAUCAAACAAAUGCAUAUGGAGUACCCACA